This 853-nucleotide ribosomal RNA is filed under the name uncultured bacterium. Its description in RNAcentral is "bacterial SSU rRNA". It matches the Rfam family "Bacterial small subunit ribosomal RNA", at positions 74 to 925 of the family's 1533-position model. The record is from RNAcentral.
UCCGCUCGGGCCGACGAGUGGCGCACGGGUGCGUAACGCGUAUACAAUCUACCUUUUACAGGGGUAUAGCCUUUAGAAAUGAAGAAUAAUCCCCCAUAGCUUUUGACCAUCGCAUGAUGCGUCAGAAUAAAGAUUCAUCGGUAAAAGAUGAGUAUGCGUUCUAUUAGCUAUUAAGAGAGGUAACGGCUCCCUUAGGCAACGAUAGAUAGGGGCCCUGAGAGGGGGAUCCCCCACACUGGUACUGAGACACGGACCAGACUCCUACGGGAGGCAGCAGUGAGGAAUAUUGGACAAUGGGCGCGAGCCUGAUCCAGCCAUGCCGCGUGCAGGAAGACUGCCCUAUGGGUUGUAAACUGCUUUUAUAUAGGAAGAACCCCCCGUUCGUGAGCGGGGCUGACGGUACUAUAAGAAUAAGCAUCGGCUAACUCCGUGCCAGCAGCCGCGGUAAUACGGAGGAUGCGAGCGUUAUCCGGAAUCAUUGGGUUUAAAGGGUCCGUAGGUUGCUUAAUAAGUCAGAGGUGAAAGCCUACAGCUCAACUGUAGAACUGCCUUUGAUACUGUUAAACUUGAAUUAGUGUGAAGUAGUUAGAAUAUGUAGUGUAGCGGUGAAAUGCAUAGAUAUUACAUAGAAUACCAAUUGCGAAGGCAGAUUACUAACACUAUAUUGACACUGAUGGACGAAAGCGUGGGUAGCGAACGGGAUUAGAUACCCCGGUAGUCCACGCCGUAAACGAUGGAUACUAGCUGUUCGUUCCACACCUUUGGGAUGAGUGGCUAAGCGAAAGUGAUAAGUAUCCCACCUGGGGAGUACGUCGGCAACGAUGAAACUCAAAGGAAUUGACGGGGGCCCGCA